This 229-nucleotide ribosomal RNA is filed under the name uncultured bacterium. Its description in RNAcentral is "partial 16S ribosomal RNA". It matches the Rfam family "Bacterial small subunit ribosomal RNA", at positions 568 to 796 of the family's 1533-position model. The record is from RNAcentral.
UGCGUAGGCGGAUUAAUAAGUCAGUGGUGAAAACCUGCAGCUUAACUGUAGAACUGCCAUUGAAACUGUUAGUCUUGAGUACGGUCAAGGUAGGCGGAAUGUGUAAUGUAGCGGUGAAAUGCUUAGAUAUUACACAGAACACCGAUUGCGAAGGCAGCUUACUGGACCAUUACUGACGCUGAGGCACGAAAGCGUGGGGAGCGAACAGGAUUAGAUACCCUGGUAGUCC